This 253-nucleotide ribosomal RNA is filed under the name uncultured bacterium. Its description in RNAcentral is "partial 16S ribosomal RNA". It matches the Rfam family "Bacterial small subunit ribosomal RNA", at positions 524 to 776 of the family's 1533-position model. The record is from RNAcentral.
UACAGAGGUCUCAAGCGUUGUUCGGAUUCAUUGGGCGUAAAGGGUGCGUAGGUGGUGAUGCAAGUCUGGUGUGAAAUCUCGGAGCUUAACUCCGAAAUUGCACCGGAUACUGCGUUGCUCGAGGACUGUAGAGGAGAUCGGAAUUCACGGUGUAGCAGUGAAAUGCGUAGAUAUCAAGUGGAACACCAGUGGCGAAGGCGAGUCCCUGGACAACUCCUGACACUGAGGCACGAAAGCUAGGGGAGCAAACAGG